Mandrillus leucophaeus (drill) is the source of this 835-nucleotide RNA transcript. It is a transcript of the gene named nucleophosmin pseudogene, with no coding region annotated. The transcript has 2 exons. The record is from RefSeq and is a predicted model, not a curated record. NCBI's taxonomy places the organism in Eukaryota, Metazoa, Chordata, Mammalia, Primates, Cercopithecidae.
AUGGGAUUUAGAAAAAAGAAGAAACUAAAGAUAAGAGUGGAAGUCAUUAUACCGGCAACUUUGAAAAGGUCUGUACAGUCAACGGUUUCCCUAGGGGGCUGUGAAGUAAGACCACCAGUGGUCUUAAAGUUGAAGUGUGCUUCAGGGCCAGUGCAUAUUAGUGGACAACACUUAGCUGCUGUGGAGGAAGAUGCAGGGUCAGAAGAUGAAGAGGAGGAGGAUGGGAAACUCUUAAGUAUAUCUGGAAAGCGGUCUGCCCCUGGAGGUGGUAGCAAAGUUCCACAGAAAAAAGUAAAACUUGCUGCUGAUGAAGAUGAUGAUGAUGAUGAUCAUGAUGAAGACGAUCAUGAUUUUGAUGAUAAGGAAGCUGAAGAAAAAGCACCAGUGAAGAAAUCUAUACGAGAUACUCCAGUUAAAAAUGCACAAAAGUCAAAUCACAAUGGACAAGACUCAAAACCAUCAUCAACACCAAGAUCAAAAGGACAAGAGUCCUUCAAAAAAUUAGGAAAAAACUCCGAAAACACCAAAAGGACCUAGUUCUGUAGAAGAUAUUAAAGCAAAAAUGCAAGCAAGUAUAGAAAAAGGCGGUUCUCUUCCCAACGUGGAAGCCAAGUUCAUUAGUUAUGUGAAAAGUUGCUUCUGGAUGACUAACCAAGAGGCUAUUCAAGAUCUCUGGCAGUGGAGGAAGUCUCUUUAAGAAAAUAGUUUAAACAAUUUGUUAAAAAUUUUCUGUCUUAUUUCAUUUCUGUAACAGUUGAUAUCUGGCUGUCCUUUUUAUGAUGCAGAGUGAGAACUUUCCCUACCGUGUUUGAUAAAUGUUGUCCAGGUUCUAUUG